UACAUUUGUCUGCAAUUUCUCUGUGCCCUAAAAAAUGCCCAGAGUUGGGAGAUGAAACAUCUUAUUCAAGAAACAACAAGGAGGACAGUGUCAUUGGAUCACGGAAUACAAAGUAAGGUGCUGCAGGUACAUAUCAACAUAAGGUAUAUAUCAUCUUAAAAAAAACAGUAGCAUGAGGUCAACGGGCAGAGGGUCUGGUGCUUCAAGGACAAGGUGUUAGAAUGGCGUCCAGAGAAAGAACAAACCAUCAGAAAUCUGUACUUCAGCAGACAGGAGGCCACACAGUGGUGAAAAGGGUUGACAGUAAUGGUGCUGUGACAUUGGAUGGAACUAAAGGAAUGGCAGAAAACUCCA
Molecule: non-coding RNA, 354 nt
Organism: Phascolarctos cinereus (koala)
Lineage: Eukaryota; Metazoa; Chordata; Mammalia; Diprotodontia; Phascolarctidae
Source: RefSeq, a predicted model, not a curated record